AGAGAGAGACAUGCGCGCAUAUCAAUAAGCGGAGGAAAAGAAACUAACAAGGAUUCCCUUAGUAACGGCGAGUGAAGCGGGAAGAGCUCAAAUUUGAAAUCUUCAAGGUUUUACCUUGACGAAUUGUAGUUUAAAGAAGUGUUUUCUGCUGAAGUUUUGGUAAAAGUUCUUUGGAAUAGGACAUCAUAGGAGGGUGAGAAUCCCGUAUUUGACCAUUAUUUUCAGCUUUGUGAUACACUUUCAAAGAGUCGGAUUGUUUGGGAAUGCAGUCCAAAAUGGGUGGUAAAUUUCAUCUAAAGCUAAAUAUUGGCGAGAGACCGAUAGCGAACAAGUACCGUGAGGGAAAGAUGAAAAGAACUUUGAAAAGAGAGUUAAACAGUACGUGAAAUUGUCAAAAGGGAAGCGUUUGACACCAGUGUUGUUUUCUCGAAAAUCAAUUAAAAAUGGCUCGAUUUUGUAUUGCUUGAGACCUUAAAAGCUCACUGUACAUUUUUCGUGUCUUUUUUAAUGCACUUUUCGUUUAACAAGUCAACAUCAGUUUCUUUUGUUGUAAAAGGGUCAUUGGAAGGUGGCUUUCUUUUCGGAGAAAGUGUUUAUAGCCUUUGGCCUCUGCAAUCGGAGAGACUGAGGUCUGCAGCGUAGACUCUUCGGGGUUAGAUACAUUUGUGCUAAGUUAUAGCUUUUUAUAGACAACUUGUUGACUAUAAUUAGUCUUGUAGCUUACUCGCUUAUGCUAUUUUACCUACGCUUAGGAUGUUGAGUCGUAGAGCACGCAG
This 776-nucleotide ribosomal RNA is filed under the name uncultured Neocallimastigales. RNAcentral's name for it is "partial large subunit ribosomal RNA". It matches the Rfam family "Eukaryotic large subunit ribosomal RNA", at positions 23 to 626 of the family's 3401-position model. Lineage: Eukaryota; Fungi; Neocallimastigomycota; Neocallimastigomycetes; Neocallimastigales. The record is from RNAcentral.